This 116-nucleotide ribosomal RNA is filed under the name Pteropus alecto (black flying fox). The record is from RNAcentral. RNAcentral also lists the same sequence under 1 other name. Lineage: Eukaryota; Metazoa; Chordata; Mammalia; Chiroptera; Pteropodidae.
GUCUAUGGCCAUGCCACCUUGAACAAGCCCAAUGUCUGAUCUCGGAAGCUAAGCAAGGUCGGGCCUGGUUAGUACUUGGAUGGGAGACCACCUAGGAAGACCAGGUGCUGUAGGCA